This 37712-nucleotide long non-coding RNA is filed under the name Eucalyptus grandis. The record is from RNAcentral. Lineage: Eukaryota; Viridiplantae; Streptophyta; Magnoliopsida; Myrtales; Myrtaceae.
CCAAAAGAACGAAGAAGAAGAAACUGAGAGGGAGUAAAGGAAAAACAGAGGGGGAGGAAGAAAAAAUGAUGUUUUUCCAUGUGGCGCGAUUAGGUCUAUAGAGGAAUAAUAAGGAACACCACUCGGCGAACGAAGUCCGGAAAACAGCAGCCGAACAAGGCUGCCGCGCCAGCAGCUAAUUUGCGCCAUUGUAAAAAUAAGAGCGUGCAGUAGGCGAUACUUACACCGACUAGUACCAGAAUGACUCACGGAGCCUGCAGAUUUUAGAUCUGCACAUUAUCUCGGUUUACCAUGAGGUAAGGAAGAAAAUCAGAAACUAAACCAGGAGUCUCAUCGCACACCUGAGAGAAGCGAUUCUGCAACAGAAGAUGAGUACGCCAAAUUGUCGAAACCUUCACGAUGACCAACUGUUGACCCGGCAGACGAAAUGCCGAUGGACGAUGAUUCAGGCAUCGGAAGAUCGCCCUCCAGGUACUGCAAUACUUGACGCAUGCUUGGCCUCAUCAACGGAUUGGCGUGGGAACACAUCAACCCGAGUUUCAGCACCAACUCCAUCUCUUCUUCCACAAACUCCAACCCCAAUUUCGGAUCUCUUGCCUCGAGAAUUGCACCUCUGUCCCAGGAAGAAAAUACCCAGUCCACUAAGAUCACGUCCUCCGUGUGCCCAUGCUUUAUCGGCCUUCUCCCGCAGGCGACCUCGAGCAAAAACACUCCGAAUGCAAACACGUCGGUGCUCGUAGUGGCCUUGCCAGUACGCACGUGCUCGGGGGCCAGAUAACCGAACGUUCCCACGACAUGAGUCGUUUGAGGGUCGGUUCCAUGGUCGUAUAGUCUCGCAAGCCCAAAAUCUCCGAGUCUUCCAUUAAAUUCAGCGUCUAGCAAGAUGUUACUCGCCUUUAUAUCCCUGUGGAUCACCACUUGCUCCCACCCUUCAUGCAGAUAAAGCAGCCCUGAUGCCACUCCUUUGAUCACCCUUAAUCUUUGCAUCCAAUUGAGGGUGACCUUUGGUUGGUUAUAGAGGUACUUGUCGAGGCUCCCAUUGGGCAUGUAGUCGUAAACCAAGAGCAACUUCCUUUUCCUGCGGCAGUAACCGAGCAGCGCCACUAGGUUGCGGUGACGGAGCCUACCGAUGCUGAUGAUCUCCGCUACAAAUUCUCUUAUGCCUUGUCUCGAUUCAUGGGAUACCAUCUUCACCGCAAUCUCUAUAUUCGAUGUGGGUAAGAUUCCUCUAUAGACCUGGCCAAACCCCCCGACCCCUAAUAACUCUUGGUCCUGGAAUCCUUUUGUAGCAAUGUAAAGAUCUUUGUACUUGAACCGGUGCGGGCCGUAGUCCCUCUCCCAAUCUUCAAGGACCUCGGCCAAUUUCCUUUUCCUUCUUAUCACGUAAAUUGCGCCCAAGAUCAUCACCGAUACAACGAAAAGAACCAUCAGUGGUAACCCGAUAGUCAUUACUUUCGAUGUCUCCUUACCGAUCUGAGGAAGCUUAGGAAGUCGGGACAGGUCAAGUGCCUGAGCCUCUCCAUUCACACUGAAGCUCCAACCCAGAACAUAGUGAGAAGCUACGACCGAACCAGCCGCUGCAGAGAAGCCCACAUACAUGUUCUCGUUGAUGAUUGGUGAGAGAUCCCGUCGAAGAGACAGAAGGGGAGUCAUCGGUUUUGCCACAUGGAUCGGAGCCAAUGUGACAUUGAUCAGUUUGUCCGCACCAUCAUAGUCCACCCAAACUUGCAUUUGUUGACCGCUGAUUAGGGACAAAUUGUUGAACUCCCCAUUAUCUUGAUAAUACCCGGCCGGAAAUUCCAUUACUGACGGCAGCCCGUUCAAGUCGAUCCGAUGUGAUUAUCGUUGAUUUCCUGGAACUCGGGGCUGAGGAUCGUGUCGAGUUCUACCCCGAACACAUGAUUGCUAGACUUGCCAUUGUUGGUUUCAUUGAACAUGCCGAGAUAUCGGCCCGGCAGGAACCCGGGGAGGCCUAUCUGGGGUGCGACAACAAAGGCAACGCCGUUGACUCUCACACUCGCAUACGGAGGUCCAAACGCAAAGACUAACGUGGUGGAGAAGGAUUUGACGGUGCCGUUCGGCAAGUUCUUGAACUGGACCGGGUAGGGAUGGAAGGCGUAGCCCUGCUGCUCCUGAGUGGUGUAGUUGUUCAGCUGCAGGAGGCCAUUGGAGGUGAUCCCGGCGAUCCCGUCGAGUUUUAGAUUGACCGAUCUGAAACCGUUGUACACGAAACCGGUCGCUUGAGCGUAAGUCAAAACUGCUAGCAGAGAGACCAGAAAAAGAAUCUCGACGGACAUGGCUCAAACUCAAAGCCCGCUUAGCAAUUAGGUGACAUCUGAUAAAAUUGGAACGAUACAGAGAAGAUUAGCAUGGCCCCUGCGCAAGGAUGACACGCACAAAGGUUUAAAUAGUCCAAAUUUUUUAUAAAAAAAAGCAAGUAACUCUAGUUUUUUCUCUGAACUUUUCUCUCGACAUGAAGAGUUUUUUCUACCAUCAAUGGUAGUUUUUACUUGUCAACCCUAAAAACUGUAUUCCCAUCCGUGUCUUCCACCUCAGCUUCUUCGCAAAACCUAUAUCAUCAGCCCACGCCAAAUUUCUUCAUCUACCUCUACCAUGUCAUGCAUGUUCAAUCACCUCAAUCAGAACAACAUUCUGGUUUCUCUCCCCAAUACCCAAUUAUAUACCGGAGGCCCAUCGCUAAUUACGAAUGUAUGAUAUCUCCGGCUGCUUCUCCAUGGUGUGUUCUCCUUGAAGUCCCCCUCUACGGCAGUUUUUUCUUGGUGCUCUACCGGACUCAUCUCUUGGAUGCAUGCCUUAAUCUACUGCGCCUAAGCAUUCCCAGGUGAUUUACUAACAUGGGUGUCCUGGUGUCUGGUCGAUUCAUCCCUUAUCACUUCUCAAUUGUCCCAUGGUUGGGUUUCUGCUCUCUUUCAACUUAAUUUGUCCGAUUUACCUUUUUAACUUCUGCACUUCACAUCUACGGAUCCUGGUUAUGAAUCCUGAGGAUGAAUCUGUGCGUCUUGCUGCUUUGUGUCAACGUCUGGGUCGCCUUUGCUCUGAACAGGAAAUAGAAACAUGGGAGGAAGAGCCAACACCGGCCACAGUAGCAGAAUGUCUUUUAACCCUGGUGGGUAAAGUUUUCACCCAAUCACCUGUUAAUUUCACAGCAUUACAGAGCACUUUAAAAAGGAUAUGGAGGAACGACCAUGUCAACUUUGCUCAAACAGAAAAUGGUUUAUAUCUGGCGAAAUUUAGGACAGAAACUGAGCAAAAAAGAGUGUUGGAAGGUGGACCAUGGCUCUUUUCUAGUCACCUAGUCUUCUUUAGGCGUUGGAUUCCUAAUACUCCUCUCCAACAUUAUGACUUUACACGAUGUCCUUUUUGGGUACACGUUGUUGGUUUGCCAUUAGAGUGGACUACAGAACAGAUGCUCCGAAAGGCAGUUCACCAGAUUGGAGAAGUUUUAGAAGUUCGCGUUGAUUUUAAAACACACUCGACUUUAAGGGCUGGCCGGAUACGGGUUGCGCUUCCUCUAACUGAGCCUCUAAAGACUGGCAAACUGGUUAGAAUUGAUGGGAGAAUGAUGUGGCUGGAUUUCCGUUAUGAACGGUUGUCUCUUUUCUGUUAUUCGUGUGGGAAGCUUGGCCAUUACGCCUCAUAUUGUGCAGACUAUCCUUAUGAUGAAGCUAAAAAUGAUGGUAAAGAAAAGAUGGCUUAUGGUCCUUGGUUGAGAGCGGAGGUUAACCAAUUUAGUCCUUAUUGGCAAGCUUUCUACAACCCACGGGAGCAUCCUACUCAGAAUGAAGAAACCGUACCUGAGACACCUCCAAACUUACUACCGACUGUUCCUUUACUAGCUGAUACAGAGCAUCGCACUGAAGUUCCAGCAGAUCCAAUUGCUCCACCAGCAGUGAAACAUCAUUCUGCUCUCAGUGAGACUAUCCAGCACUCCCGGCAGCCUUCUCUACAACCAGGUCAGAUUUUAUCAACGGAUUUAAUCCCUGCACAGACCAAACAGAAGGGCCCCAUUAGUUCUAGUAUUGAAAAACCAACACAUCAGAAAAUGCAUGCUCCCCGACUUACUACUAAGAUGAGCCCUCUGAAGAAACAGAAAAGAUAUUCUCCCUAUGAAUCGAAACAGAUCAUAUUAGAGCAUUUUGAUGAUGCUCACUUGCUGGACGCACCUGUUUUGGAUGCAGCAGAAGGGAAUCCGUGGGCUUUGGUGGCUGGCCCUAAACAGCCACCGACUUACAAAUGAAGCUUAUCUGCUGGAACUGUCAGGGUUUGGGCAAUCCCCUGACAGUUCAAGCUUUAAAGGCCUUGACGGCCAAAGAAAAGCCUGAAUUUUUGUUUUUAAUGGAGACUAAAAAUUCUGAGAUGGUUCUAAAUCGUUUGCAGCGACGUUUAAAGUUCAGCCACUCUUUUGUUCAGAAUCCUGUAGGCUUUGCUGGUGGCUUGUCGCUUUUUUGGAAUGAAACUAUUUCGGUAGACAUGGUAUCGUAUUCAGCGGAAUAUUUUGAUCUCAUCUGUCGGGAUGUUGUGGAAGACAAGCUUAUGCGCAUUACCUGUCUUCAUGCUCCUUACUCUUACCAUAAUCGACAGUUACUUUGGGAUAAUCUUCGUCUGAUUAGUUGCUCCAAUACCCUCCCUUGGAUAUGUGCUGGAGAUUUCAAUGAAGUCCUGUACCCAUGGGAAAAGGUUGGAAGGCGGGCUUCGGAAGGGUAUAGAAUGCAAUCUUUUAGAGAUGUAAUCAAUGACUGUGAUUUUAUGGAGGUUGAGAGCAAGGGCUGCACUUUUACAUGGUCGAAUAAUAGAGAUGGUCUGGAACAAAUAAAAGAACGGUUGGACCGUGUUCUAUGCACGACGGAGUGGCAGCUUCUCUACCCUGCAGCUCAGGUUUUUGCUUUGCCAGCUAUGGGGUCUGAUCACAGCCCACUUCUCUUGUCCACAUCGUUAUCUUAUCCCCGAGGUCCACGCCCUUUUGUCUUUGAAGCAUUUUGGAAUCACGAUCCGGAGUGUAGAGCGGUUAUUUCUGACACAUGGGACUCCAUCCAGGUACGCAAUUCCCCCCUUUUGCGCAAACUCAGAAUUGUUUCUUCAAAUCUACGAAAAUGGAGUCGGUCAAAAUUUGAUAAUGGGCACUUGAGGGUGCCGGUUUUACAACAGAAGCUCCAAUCUAUUAUUAACAAGCCCUAUCAUUCCAAAACUGAUACUGAUGAAGCAGAACAGCUAUGUGGGGAAAUUCGGACACUAUGGCAGCAGGAAGAACAAUUUUGGGCUAUGCGUUCUCGUGUUAAUUAGUUAAAAUGGGGAGAUAAAAACAGCAAAUUCUUUCAUGCCACCACAGUGCAACGGAGACAACGCAAUAGGAUUGGAAUGUUAAGGGAUGAGAGCAGUAACUGGGUGAGAGAUAUUCCGACCUUAAAGGACAUGACUUAUGAUUAUUUCUCCAACCUAUACACUUCUGUUGGUUACAGGGACUAUAGACCAAUCCUAGAUCAAUGUCACCCAUUAGUGUCUGCUGAGAUGAAUGUGAGUUUAAUUGCUGAGCCUACAAGAGAGGAAGUUAGACUGGCAACUUUUCAGUUGGGGGCGCUGAAAGCUCCGGGGCCUGAUGGUCUGAAUGGACUUUUUUAUCAGACACACUGGGAUAUCGUUCAGCAUGAUAUAUUCCGUUUAGUUCAGGAGUUUUUCUCUUCGGGGGUUCUGCCGAAAGAUCUUAAUAAAACUGUACUAGUGUUGAUCCCCAAGAUCAAUCACCCUGAGAGCCUAGAUCAAUUUCGUCCAAUUAGCCUGUGUAAUUAUGCAUAUAAGAUAAUCUCUAAGGUAUUGGCUAAUCGUCUCAAGCCAUGGCUUGGGGGUCUUAUCUCUCUGGAACAGGCAGCCUUCGUGAGCGGGCGUCAAAUACAGGAUAAUGUUUUGAUUGUUCAGGAGGUUAUUCAUCAGUUCAAAACAAGGUUCAGGAAGCGUCAUUUUAAUGCACUACUCAAGAUGGACAUGCAAAAAGCUUACGACAAGAUUGAAUGGGAUUUCCUGCAGGAUUAUCUUCUUAAAUUGGGAUUUCAUCAUUCCUGGGUUAGUAUGGUCAUGCAAUGUAUCACUACUUCAUCUUUCAGUGUACGUUUCAAUGGGGUACAACUCCCAUAUUUCCAACCAUCACGAGGCUUACGUCAAGGAGACCCGCUUUCCCCUUACAUAUUCAUUUUAGUGGCGAAUGUCCUUUCCUCCCUUAUUCAUCAAGCUGUUAAUACGAGACAUCUCAAAGGGAUCCAACUUAACAGGUUCUGUCCUACUCUUUCUCAUCUAUUUUUCGCUGAUGAUUCGGUCUUUUUCCUAAAAGGAACACUUAUGGAAUGUCAGAAUUUGGCCAAUAUCUUGAAUCAAUAUUGUCUAGCUACUGGUCAAGUAAUCAACAGGAACAAGUCUGGCAUGUUUUUUACUAAAUCCUGCCCUUGGAGUCUUAAGCUUAAUCUAGUGGCAGAAUUUAGGGUCCCGAUAUUAGCGAAGUAUGGGAAAUACUUAGGAGUCCCUUCUGAUUGGGGCCGAUCCAAAUCAGAUAUGUUUAGCUGGAUAUUAGGCAAGGUGAAUGCAAAACUUGAGGGCUGGAAAGAACUUUUGCUGUCGAAAGGGGGAAAGGAAAUCCUACUGAAAUCUGUCGUGCAAGCUAUUCCGCAGUAUGCGAUGUCCAUUUUCAAACUUCCUAUAUCUUUGUGCCAUAAGAUUGAACAGAAAAUCUCCAAUUUCUGGUGGAGGAAUAAUAAACAGAGGAAGGGGGUGCAUUGGCAAAGCUGGGAAUUGUUAAAGACAGACAAGGUGAAUGGUGGGCUAGGCUUUCGCAAUUUGUUAGCUUUUAACACAACGCUACUUGGCAAGCAGGCAUGGCGUCUAUUUCAACAGCCACACUUGUUAUGGUGCCGUCUCUUCAAGGGAUUAUAUUUCCACAGUAAAGAUAUUCACUCUGCUGAACUCGGCACACGCCCAUCCUGGGGUUGGCGGGGUGUUCUUUUUGGAAGGGACGCCAUCCUACCAAAUGUACGAUGGUCUGUUGGGGAUGGGAAGCACAUCAAAAUUCGUGAACACAGUUGGUUACCCUCUGGCCCUAUUGGCGGACCAGCUACAAGAGACGAACCGAAGCUGGUGGCUGAUCUUAUUGACCCAGUCCACCAUACUUGGAACAUUAAUCUUAUCACCCAUUUAUUUAACGACAACAUCACAUCAGAAAUCUUGGAUAUCCCUAUCAGACCGCGACAUGCUGCUGAUCAGAUAGUGUGCACCGCAACGAAGGAUGGCCAUUAUACAGUAAAAAGCAACUAUAGAACUAUUGUCAGCAAGCCAGUAAAGCCACGGGAUCAUCAUGCAUCAUCAUCAUAUCAACAACCCAGUUUUCUUUGGCGCAAACUAUGGAAGAUCAAAACAAAUCAGAAAAUCCGUCUAUUUUUAUGGUCAGCAUGCCACAAUGCCCUCCCUACCAAGGCAAAUCUAUAUGCUAGGCACAUCACCUCGGAUCCAAUUUGUCACAUCUGCAACCAAAACUCUCUAGAAACAAUCGAACAUUUAUUCUUUUAUUGCUCAUGGACACACGACAUAUGGGAGCAUCAGCAGAUCAGUAUUCCAGUUUCUCCUCUCAGCAUUCAUCGUCUUGAUGAGUGGUUUUCAGACAGAGACAGCAACACUAACCUGUUACCUGGAUUGGAGACCAUCGCCCAUGUAUUUUGGCAGAUCUGGUGCCAACGAAACAAUCAAAUCUUCCGUCGAAUCCGUCCUGAUCCAACCCGAGCUGUGAUCGAUGCCCUUGCCCUGACUCGGAUUCAUGGCAUUUCUUCUGCACAGCAUCAAGGACCGCACGAAUCGCACACAGCGCAUCUGGCUGAACGACGAUCAGCGUUACUUUGGAAACCUCCGGAUCGGGGAUCUCUAAAAUGCAAUAUAGACGCAUCUCAUCAACCAGGAAGUCACGAAGGCAACGUAGCGUGUAUUAGUCGAAAUCAUCAAGGGGUACUCACCGAUGUCUAUACCCGUCGAUGUCCCGCUGCUUCUCCUUUUCAAGCCGAAGUACAGGCGCUAGCUUGCACUCUUAAUCAUCUACUGCAUCAGGGACUCAACAUGGCCAACAUCAUCAUCGAAUCGGAUUGCUUGGCCAUGAUCGAGAUUCUUCAUGAGAAACAGAGCCCCCCGUGGAAAGAACGAGCGCUGUUCGCAGAGAUUUCUCAUCUGCUCUCUCUGUGCCCUAACUUCAGUCUUCAGUAUUGCAAGAGGGAAGCUAAUGGAGUUGCUGAUUGGGCUGCCAAGGCCCACGGUAGAUCAGAUAUGGCCCAUAACUGGAAUAUCUUUCCUCCUUUAAUAUUACAGAAUUUGGUAGCUGCCGAAGCAUUAGCUUCUGGUUGUACUACCCAGAUCUUUUGUAAAGCUACUACUUAGCAAUGAAAUAUCUAUAUUUCUGACCAAAAAAAAAAAAAAAAUUAGGUGAAGAAUGAUGCGGAUUACCAAGGCUAUGAAGAGUCCAAAAGAAUCUUCAUCUGACGGCAUCAAACAAAUGUCGCAAAUUUCAAAAAUGUCUGCUCUACGGGAGACGAAUUGUUCAAUGUCCUGGAUUUUUCAAUGGGCGAAUGCGACAGUCCCUGUUCAUAAGUCAAUUAGGAAUUUUCAAUUACGAUGACUCUGAAUAAAAAAAAAAUCUGAGUCGGAGAAUGACUUUUUUGUCGAAAUUAAGUCUGGUGAGAGAGAUGGAAGGAACAUGGGCGGGCUAAAAUCAAAAGCCCCUCAAUUUUCUUCCGCUGAGAAAACCAAAAGGUAAUUGUGCCACUCGUAACACGAGUGGCAAUGACAUGCUUUUGAUCCUUUGAUACCAAGAAUUGAAGUCUGUCCAUCAAUCUACCUUUCCUACAUGCACCAGUUAGUUCAUUGUGCAGAUGAAUUUUCUUGCCAGAGAAGUUGAAACCAUUCACCGUACUGAUCACAUCGGCCCUACUUAUUAGGGAUGGGCACAAGCCGCAGGGAAUCUAUGUCCGGUGAAUCAAAUCCCAUCUAAACCUUAAGAAAAAAAAACAUAAAAUUUUAUCUUUUAGUCCAUUUCAUUUAUAAGUAUGAAAUAACUAAAAAAACAGUUUCUUCUCCUUACAAGCUUUGCUUUUUACUGAAGAUGCAAGCUUGGAAAAACCGGUAUUCCAUUUUCAUAUUGUCCCCCAGUGACUAUUCUUUUUUACCAAAAAAAAAACAUAAAAUUUUAUAUUUUAGUCCAUUUCACUUAUAAAUAUGAAAUAACUAAAAAACAGUUUCUUCUCCUUACAGGCUUUGCUUUUUAUUGAAGAUGCAAGCUUGGAAAAACCGGUAUUCCAUUUUCAUAUUGUCCCCUAGUGACUAAUUUGUGAAGGUUGGAGCUUGUUUCGCAUUGUACGCUCAACAAAUAAGGCUAUUCUUUUUUACCAAAUGCACUCAUUAGGUCCUUCUUCUUCUUCAUAAAAAAAAAUAAUAAUAACGAAAUAUGUCAAUGAGCCAUCAUGGUAUUAGUGGUUUUUGAGUGAAACAAUUAAUUCUAUGGCAGUGCCCCGUGGCCCCGUUGCCCUGGGAAGGCAAAACCAUCCGGGCGCCCACCCCUAAAUUUUAUUAAGAAACUUUACUACCCUUGUCCUUUAAUAAACCCUAAACCAAACGCGCAUUCAUCUUCUAAUUCUUGAUAGUUUAUAUCAAAUUUAUUGACAUAAAUAGUCCAUAAAUUUUAAUUUAAUGUGUAAUAUAGUGUGGUUCGUAAACUUUUAAUUUAUUCAAUUUAAUUCACGAACUUUUCAUACAAGUUAAAUGUGGUCUUUGAACUAUAUGAAAAUAUUUAAUGUGGCCCAUUUACUAAUUCAAGAUCAAGGACAACAUUGAACAUUUUCAUAUACCAAUAAUUCAAGAAAUAUAUUGAACAAAUUAAAAUUUUAGAAACUACAUUACGUAUUGAGCUAAAUUUCAGGGAUCAUAUUGAAUAAAUUAAACAUUCAAAGACCAGUUUGCAUAUUGGACCAAAGUGUACGGAUCAUUUGUAUCAAUUUCUCAUUUAUGUCGUAAGUUCGGUUUUUUAAUUUUAAAUUGCCAAGACUUCUUAUGAAUGCCAUUCUUGACUCUAAGGCCAUGUUAAUCUAUCUAUUUAGCUUUCCGAGGGAGGAAGUGGGUCAUAAGCAUAUUGUCCCAUGAGAAAGUUACAGUUUACUUGCUUCAAGCCAGCCAAAUUCAACGAGAAUAUGUAAAAACACCAUAAAUCAGGUGACCAUUGAACUAAUUAGGGUACAUGUGACAUCCUGAAUUUCAACUUCGUCUCAAAUGAAUAAAAUGAACAUUUCGUCGAUGCGCCUAUGGUCCUUUUUCUCUAAGCUGAUCACUCACAAGUUAACUAACCUAUUAGGUGAAGUCGUUAAGGGAUAUAAACGCGGCAGACUUGAGAAUUUGAUCGGAAAUCGAUCACUUAACCAUGAUAAUUGGCAAGGGUUAAUACGACACUAUUAUAAUUGAUUUGUGAUCAGAUAUAGGUCGAUUCGACAAAACCAUGUAAUUGAAUUGCGGGCGAUUCUACUUGAUUGCAAAAUUCGCGUUGAAUGGCACUAACCCGAUUUUCCAUCGUUUUAUACUCGGUGCCCAUAAUUGAAACCUUGCGAUUUUUACGACAACCGAGAGUCGUCUACGAAUCGAAGAUGCACAAACGUGAAUUGAAAAUUAUCGACCACGGGUCAAACGGAUUAAAAUCCCUAAAAGCUACCCAAUAUGUUAGGUUAUACUAAAAUCGUGUUUGAUCGAUUUUAACCAUAUAAUUGAAUUCAAUUUUGGGAAUUGAACGUUCGAGCGAGUCACAAUUUAUUUUUAGGAACUCGUCUCAUCUUUUGAGAAAAUUCCGUCAAGCCCAGAAUUUUGCGGAAAAAUCAAAUUCGACAAAGAAAUAGGAGGAAAUUCGUAUGGUUGCCAAAGGGGACUAUUUUGGCCGCCAAUUUGAUUUGUUUUGUGAAGAAAUUGAGAAGAAAUCAACCAUUGGAGGACCCGUGGACUUUGUGGGCAGAAAACUUUGGGGUAAUUGCAGCUUAGCACUCAUUGGCUACAAGCUUGACUAUUUGGCCUUCCUCUCUCCCUCCUUGUACGCAUCCCCCCCCCCCCCCCUCCCAGCCGCUAUUUAUGCUUUCUUCUUCUUCUUCUUCACUUCUUCUUCUCAAUUUCCUUCUUCACACUCAAACUUCAGCUAUCUUCACCACCAAUCCAAUAGAGUCGCCAGGAUUCCAACAACUACAGCCAACACCACUCAACCGUUCCACCACUAGCCACGCCAUCCCUUGUGUCCAGAACCCAUGGACGAGUUGCCAGCCGCGUCCGCCAGUCCGUCUGCUGGCUCAACUCGCCAUCACCCGUAAUUCUAAUCUUGUAUGCCUGGCUACACCGUCACUGUCGAGCAGCCACUGUCUCAGCUACUGCCCGCUCGUCCAAUGUCCGCAACCGAGCAACCAGCUCACUGCCUCCUCAACUAGCCCAACCAACCCCUCAACCAGAACAAAAAACCCCCCCUUCAAUCAUGAGCCUUGUAGGCUUUUUCAGCCUCUUCCGAACCUCCGUUGAAGACGUCGAAGUCACAGAAUCUCAACGCCGUCAUGUCACCAUCGCUGUGAACCCGUCGCCUCACUAAUCCGGUGAGUUAACAUCCUAAUCUUGGAUUAGGAAGUUAAUUGCACUUAGGGGAUUAGUUUAGUCUAAUUAGGAUUAAGGGUUAAUUUAGUUAGUGUAACUAGUUAGCUGGUUAGUUUAGUUAGAUGAACUAAGUUAAAUUAGUUUGGUUAGGUUCCUACCCUAGGUUAGUUAGUCAACUAGGGUUAGUUAGUUAACUAGGAUUGGUUAGUUAAACGUGGUUAGUUAAUGACUGUCAGUUUAUUUAAUCGUGGUUAAGUUAAUUAAAUUAAAUUUAUUUAUUUUCCCAAGAUUUAUUUAAUUAAUUAUAAUUAGCGUAAAUUAUGCUGGGAUAACCGGUUAGUGAAAUUUUAUGCCGAUCGUUGUGGAUGAGUUUAAAUGUGAAAUUGAUUGCUUAAUUGUUCAAUUGAGUGCUUGAUGACGUUUGGUGAUUAUUAUUGCAAAAAUUGAAUUUAUGGUAUUUAAAUAGAAAAAUACCGGGUGUCGGUUUUUUACGCCAAAAAUAUUUUAUGUGCUAUAUAAAAUCGUGAAAUUUUGAAAUGAGAGAGUAUCACGUUUUAUUGUUCGAUUUAAAUGUGUGACCACACACAAUUGUCUUCCUGGAAAUUUUAAAUAUGAAGAAAAUUGGCUAAGUCCAUUGAAAUUGAGGCAUUUGAGUGCAAAGCACAAUGUUCUUGGCCAAGUAUGGAUGUGCAUGUGGUCACUAUUAGAACCCAUCACCCAAUGAGAAUUUGGGGUUGAUGCCUGAUUUUAUCGGAUGCCCGGCGAUAGUCCGAAAGCUGGUCGCGGUGGAGGCCGGACCAAUGCCUCUUUUUGGGAUGUCGUAUAGGUGGGCGUUCUAGACAUUACCGUGCUUGACGAAGCAGGACGACACCCAGUCAUGCCGAAUGACUGCCGAUUGUUGAGUUGGCCGUGGCCGAUGGGUCAUAAUAACUAGGACAUGCCUAAGUGAUUGAGAUAACCGUGCCUUAUUAUGGAGCAAAAUUGUGUGGCACGGAAUGAGACAUGUCAUAAUGAUUUUAACUUUUAAUCGGGACCCCUAUGCUUGUUUGAGAAAUGAUAUGUUCCAAUUAUUAAUUACGCAUGCUACAUUGAUAAAUGUAUAUGUGGCGCACUAAUGUGUAGGGACGUGAUGAGGUGGGGUAAGUUUGUGUGUGAUGCUUGUUUAAGCUGCCUCUAAGUGAAUUCUUGUCAUAAUCGGGGUUUAGAGUCUUAACUCGCUGAGAUUUUUAUCUCACCCCAUCGUGAUUAAAUAUUUUCAAGUCCCUAAGAUGGAGAACCCGAAGCCCAAGGCAGAAGGGUCAUGAGUGUAGAUGGCCUAAUAGUUUCUUUUUGAAGCAGACUUAUGUGAAUAGACCUACAAGACUAACUUGGCGUGUAUAUAAAGUGUGUUUUAUGAAAAGGAUGUUAGCAUGUUUUGACUAUCCCGUGUCUGAUGAUUGUCCGGAUGUUUGUUUAUUUCGCUUCCGCAUGUGCAUAAUUGAAAGAUAAAAAGAAAGGAGUCGGUGAUGUAUCCUAGGAUGUCGCAAUUUUAAUCAACCGCUAAGGGAUGUGUGCGUGCCCAGGUUCGGGGCACGACAAUACAUGCACCUACACAACACCUUGAUUAUAACCCACGUGCACCUAGAAAAUUCUACCAUUUAUCACACAUCUCUCUCUUUUCUGCUCUCUAUAUAGUCGUUUCCUUCCUCAACCUCCUUCACCUCCAUUCUUGAUCUGCAACUUGAGACCAUAGCCACCACCCUACACACAAUCUCUCUCUCUCUCUCUCUCUCUCUCUCUCUCUGGUCGUUUCUGUUUUCUUCUUCUAAAGAUGCUACAAAGGCCCUUACUCAUUCUCUGUGCUUUACAAUGGUUUCCAGGACAGUUUUCCAAGGCCAUCACUCGUUCUCUGUGCUUUUACAAUGGUUUCCAGGACAAGUUUUCCAUCUCCAGUUGCUCAUUCAAGAUGUUCGCCAGGAACACCAUGCGCUUUGUUAUUGGUCUCCAACAAUAGAGAUUCGGAGGCAUCAUCCAAUGUAUGUCUAAGCGAAGUCGCUAUUUGUUCGAGUGCAACUAAGUAAAGAUCAAGGCGGUGGAGCAAUCACCGACUUGAGGAGGUAGGUAUAUCUCCUCAUUGUUACAAUACACGAGUAAAUUGUGUUAGAGAAAUCUCACAUCAGACAAUCAAUGUAGUGUAGAGCAAUUAAUAUAUCCUAGUUAGCUUAUAACUUAUUGGUUUAAGUUUUUGAGUCAAAGUAAAUCAUCUGGAUAUAUCAACGAGUUGUUGAUCUCCCCAAACGAAAAGUAUCCGGCUAGGUGGGCCUUGUGACUAAGGAUGAAGUUGGGAAAAGAGACUUAGGAUGAAGUUGGGUAGCUGGGUUCAGAAAGAAAGACCAAGGCCAGCAGACUUUAUGGUUCGGUUCGGAAAAAUUGAGAUAAGUUAAUGCAAAAAGAUACUUGCGAGAACUUUAUGAGGAUUCCUUGGGAGGCACGCAUGACUUUGAGAGAGGGUUGCAGCAAUUGUUCAAAGAAGUAAAAUAUACGAUCAUCGCGGGGAGAUAUGAUGCUGCAAGCCUUGAAGUUGUAGCCUUGAGGUACAUGCACGUUGGAGAUCUGAAAUUGGUCAGAAACUCUGCUGGAGAUGGUAACCUUGUUUCCAUUAAGCACCUCUUCUAUUGCUGAUUCUGGCGUAGGGUGAGCUGGGGGGUGAUCUUUUGUUUGUUCUUAGAUAAAUAAUAUUCUUUUCAAAAGUUUAACAACAAUAGUAACUUCUUCCUAAGUCAAUUAUAUUUUGAAUCAUUGAAAUAUCUUUAGGCCCGUUUGUUUACAUUUCGAGGAAAAAGUUUCUUUUUUUCUUUUUCUUUUUUUGCCUUUCCCGCCAAAUGUAGGUGUUAUUGUAAUUUUAGGAAACUUUGGAGAUAUCUUUUAUGAACAAGAUAUCAACAUUUGAAAAAUUCUAAAAGUUUUGAAAGCUAUAGACUAGAAAGGGACAGUUUAUGAUUUGCAAGAUUUAAAUUAAGUAAAAAGUAGAAAGUAAAAGUCAUGUGAGUUUAGUUUUCUAUUAGGUUAAUACUACAAAGAAAACCCUAAACUAGUAUAUAUGUGACAAAUUUACCCCAAACUAAUAACAAAUUUACCUUUCAUUACUUUUUGUCAAAUUGUUCAAUUGGAUAACAUGUAACAAUUGAUGAGUGAACAAAUUUAAGGUUUUACCAUUCGUUUGUCGUAGGUAUAUUAGUUUCCAUUCAAUUUAAUGGAAAUUACGGAGGAUAUAUUUGUCACAAAUCUACCGGUUUGAGGUUUUUUGUAGUAAAAAACUUAAUUUGAGGUAAAUUUGUCAUAAGAAUACCAAUUUGAAGUUUUUGGUGGUCAAAAAAUUAGUUUGAAUAAAUUUGUCACGAGCGUACUAAUUUAGAGUUUUUCUUGAUAAUAACUAUUUUCUAUUUUGUUUCCUCAUCUAUCGAGAUAGGGCAUUCUCUAUUUUCUCCUUAAAUUGUUAGAGGUCAUUAAACCAUGUGAGAAAGGUUAACAUAGUUUAUCAAUAUGGAAAUCUCAGUUCCAUCAUCUAAAUUGUAGCUUAAAAUAAUUUUUCGUCUAGAGUUUCUGUAAAUUAAUUCAGUCAAGGGAUUACUUAUAUGUUCUACCAUCAUAUAUCUUAUUAUAUGACACAAUUUUCAUGAGUUCUAAAUCGUAUAGCACUUGAAGUAUCACAAAUUAGACCAAGACAUGUUAAGUUGCCAAAAUGAAAUACAAGGACCGUCGAAACAUUUGAAGAAAGUCUCCAUGAAAUCAUAUGGACUUCUAGAUUCAUCGUGGGAAAAGUUUCAUCAUUUGGUAUUAUAACGAUUGGACCCGAUGGCCCAAUCUCACAAAAACUACACACAAGUACUUGUCACUUAUUUUAAAGGGGAGAUAUAGCGAUCUCCAUGUGAGUAUAAAAAUUUGGAAAGGAGGAGAGCUUUGUAGCUCUUUACAAAGAAGUAAAUUUGGCUAUUCAGUGAAUGACACUCAUCCUCUGCCCUUUCUACCCCUACUUGCAUGCACAAGGUGCAAUCUGGAGGAGAAAGCGCCCAUGGCCGUAUUAGUCCUCGUCAUAGUCCGUGCAUUGGCAGUACUUAUUGAAACCCGAAUCCACCGUAUUGUGAUAUAAAACUAGAAAACAUUGUCAACGUAGAAACUGUAUUGACUGAAUGGCGAGUAUGUCUCUCCGUUGCAUGUUUUGCUCACCGGAGUUACGUCUGGAUCACCCCUUGCAGCACCGAGAAUUAAGAGAAGGGCGGCUAUGACUGCUACUGCAAUUUCUUGAAAAGUGGCCCUUUUGUUGAGUUUUGAUCUCAUGUCUAUAGAUAAGCAGCUUUAUCAAGGGGUUGUACUUGAAAUUAUCUCCACAAAUUUUCAAAUUACUUUAACCAGUAGAUCCGAGGGAUGCUUCCUUGACUUUGUCGAAGUAUCACUUCUUAUGUUGAACUUAUGCCGAUUAUUCAGCUGCGGAAUUUACUUGAUAAACUAAUAGUGUGUUGCGACCUAUCCCUCAGGGGAGGGAAUAGGUUUGGGGUAUUGUCUAAAGAUCGGGCCUACGGCCCAUGAUCAAGCAUGGGCUCUCCCAAGCCCAUAAGGAUUUAUAAGAAUUUUGUAACGAUGAGUCGCCACUAGCCUAUUGGGAUCGGAAUCUACACAUUCUCUUCUUCGGGCGUCGUCUUCUUCCCCGACGCCUUCCUUCUCUCCAACUUCAUCUUCUUCUUCUUUUUCUUUGUUUUUUUUAAAACCCACAUAACCAGACACUAAACCAUCCUUUACGGACACCACACCGCUCCACCAUCGCUCCGGCCAACAGCACCCAACUCCGGCCAACAACACCCAACCUCGGCAACCACAACAACCAAAGGAAAUAACCAUCCCGAAACUAACAUUUUCGAUCCCAGAUUUUUGCCAAACAAAAAGGGUACACUAAAAUGGGAAGAAGUGCCGACUAGGACAGCCUUAAAUCACAGGACCCGCCAGAGAGGGAAGGUAGUUCUGCUGGAGGUCCUUCCCGCAAUAGCUCAAAAAGAUGGUAGACAUGCAACGAAAUCACAAUAAAAUAUACCAAAAAAAGGUGACAGCAGACAUAGUUCAACAAUACAAAGGCAAACAAUCAUCAAACUGGAUUAUUGAACAUCAAGUACUUCGGCCAUUCACACAGGCAUUUUAUCGAACACCUAGUAGGUACUACUGAAACGACACAUUUUGACUCGAUCAAGACUCAAACACACAGCAGAGCAUAACCCUAACACACAAUAGAGUCGACGGAGGAUCAACGGGACUGAAACUCGUGCGAACUGAUCACCGUGAGCUCCGGUCCGACACCUCUCAAAACGGAGCACCCAUGGUUCGAAGGACUUACCAGUUCGGACAGCGAGCCACGAGCGGGCCACGAGCGACAGAGACACUCUCGAUUUCACUCUCUAUAGCUCCCUCUCACUUGCUCAGAAACUCUCUCCCGUGGACUCACGCUCUUGUUGGUCCCUCUCGGCCAAAACCAACGUCGGAGGACAUGGAAGAAGGGGGGAAUCGUGAGCUCCGUUGCACCGGUUUGCGCCGAGGACCGCUGGACGACGCCCACCCGGGGCCAAAUUUUCAGCCCUCUCGCUCUCUCGGUUGUUCUCGCUCGAACUCCCUCAAGCUCUUUCCCUCUCUGUCUCUAGCGCUCUCCCUCUCUCCGCGAACAAAUCCCCUCCAGAAAAGCCCCCUUUCCGUCCGCUUUUGAGGGCAUCGGCCGAUGUGCAUGGCUUCUGCCAUCACCAGCUCGCUGCUCGGUCUGGCCCCGACCUGCGGAUCGUUCUGCCCUCUGCCGCUCGCCAUCCGUUUCCUCUCUCUGACCUGUACUCCUCUUUUUUGCAGAGCGUGACCGGCAUGAGGAGGAAGAAGACUAGCAUGCGGGCUGGGCUUAGAGAAAAGUAAAUGAAGCUGGGCUUGGCCCAAGCGAAAGGACAUACGAAGGAGAGGAGAAAAGAGAAGAACUGGACCAAGUCCGGUCCGCCUUUUUUUUUAAUAUUCGAUUUUUUUAUUUUUUUUUAUUUUACUUUUUUAGAUUUAUUAAUUAGUGAGAGUUAUGUAAAUGCUCCUAAUAUCUACGGGUAAUGGGUUUUAAAGAAAACAUACACAAUACAUUUUAAUGAAAGCUAUUUAUUUAACUCUUUGCUUCCUCAUUUAUUUUUAGCGACUAAUUCUUCAUAUUGUAUGCAAUUAAGUCCUAAAUAAAAUGGUAAAAAAAUUUAGGUGUCAACACAGUGCACAUAUGUUGUCGACCCAAUGAGAAUUAUAGUAAUAUUUGCUACCAUUUCAACCAUAUAUAUUCCUCCAAUUACUAAAGUUUUAUCUGGAAUAAGGUUUUCGUGAAUAUAUUAUAUUAUAUUGAGGGGUUGGGGUUUCACACCCCAAAUCCUACCGGGAUGGAGUAACAUGGCCGUCCUUCCACCCGAAGGACAACCUCAAAACAUACCCAAAGCCCACUUCUAAAAGGUCCCCAUCGAUAGCAUUCUUUGACUACUAGCUACUAACCAAAGGACUUGAAAAAGUUUUGAAAUAAAGGGAUGAGCAACCACAAGCUGAAUAAAUAAUACAUAUCUUCUAAGUAGAUCGAGCAGCCACUAUGCAUAUAUAUAAGUAUAGAGCACUAUCGAAAAAUCAUAAUCCAACUCAUUAAAUUUAUAUAUCAAAUGAAGAACGAAUCGUUCAUUUCAACAAAACUUUAUACAAGUCGGAAAUACACAUUUAAAUCCACCAUUACAAUUCAAAUAUCAAUAGUCAAGUCCAUUGAUUAAUCUCCAUCAAAACUACAUCAAUGGUCUAUCCAUUGAUUCAUCUCAUAUCAAAUCCAUCGAUCGACUAAUCUUUUGCUCAAUACCUAACCAUGGUCAUGACACAACGCCUUGUGACAAGGUGACCAAGAUUCCCCCCUUGGCAAGUGGUAAGGUCUCCACCUACAAAACUGGUGGCUUGGCCCAAAAUGAUAUCCUAAACCCGCCCUAAAAACCUCACCAGGUUCACAAUCAUAUUAAGCAUAAAAAGCCAUUCUUCCAAUUCAGAAAUCAAUAUCAUAAACUAGCCCAUUUCCUAUCCAUUUCUCAAAUUAUCAUAAACUUUUCCAUAAAUUAGUCGCGAAGCAAUUUCAUAUAUAUUUCUCCACAAACUUUGUAUAAAACGCUUUUUAAAUAUUCAUAAUCAAUCAAAGAGUAGUAAUUGCUCAAUCUAGCUUUUAUGCAAUAAAAAUGCUCUCCUCAAUUCAAUAUAUAUACAUAAAUACUUGAACACAUGAUUUUACAAAAUCAAAGAUGAUAUAGUACCAUUUACCUCAUCGUCUACGAUCAAACGACAAACGAUACUCAUAUCGUCGAACUCAAGGCCCUAUCAAAUAAUCGAGAAAUAAUGUUAAAAUCAAAAUAAAACUCUAUCUCAACUACAAAACAACUAAACUAUGCCUUAACUCUAACAAAAGACUCGUACGCACUAACAAAUUGCAUAACUAAAGCGAUUGUUCAAGCCGUUCACAAUAAAACUUGAUCGUAACUUAACUUUCUCCUCCGAACACCAAUCUGAAUGUAGUUAUAGUCAAUAGAAAGCAACAUGCUACAAGAAUCACAACUUGGUCGCCCCAAAUCAAGUCGAUAAAAUGACAAAAUACAGGCCAAAAGCUCUUGAACGCGUACUAUUCACUACAUGCGGGAAACUUCGAAAUUUUAUUUCGGACUCAUCAUAAGCUCAAAUCACAAUCCAUAAAAUCUUAUAACUCCACAACACCCUAAACUAUGAUUUCUAUAAAAAUACACAACUCAACAACUCCAAAAUCGAACUUCACCGCUCGAUUUUCCCAAAAUUCCAAAUUUCAAGCCCUAAGUCUGAAACUACUCUGAUUGGAAGAAUGAGAAGCGCGAUCACUUACUGGGCGUUGCAAAUAAGCAUAAGGGAUUUCCCUAACAAACACACAAAGCCCUCUCUAUUAUUUCUUCUUCUUCUUCCUUCUUCUUUUCUCCUCUUUUCUUCUGCCUGACCUUGUGCCUGAAUGUGGGCUUUCUUUUCCUUUUUAUCUCUUCCCCUUUUUCUUCUUUUGCUUUCUUUAUUUAAAGUGGGUCCCACCACAUUUUCUUUGACUUUUUCAAAAAUCUCAAAUAUUACAUGGGGUACAACUGGAAGCAUAAUAUUCUAGUGAGGACAAGAUCGAAGGCAAAAACUUUUUUUGUUAAUCUCCUCUAUUUGCCACUCAUAAUUGUUGAAAGUCUAAGACAAAUGGGCACUUACCCUGAGAUUUGGGCUCCAUCAAGACAACGUUCAGUCCAAAUCAUUUUAAAAAGAAUAAAGAAAUUUUUUUACCAAACCCAACAUUCAACUACAAGAGUAACAUUGGAGACACGAAGUUGCUUUAAAGACUCACAAACGCAUCAUGAAAGUUGAAUUAUCUCCAUGCAGUCUUUCCACAUGAAAAAUGUCUAUGAUGGACUCCGUGAGAGAUACAGAAAAUGUAAUGGCAUGCUUUUGAUACCCAGAAUUGAAGUUGUCCAUCCAUUUACCUUUCCUAUACACUAGUUAGUUCACCGUGUAAAUAAAUUCUUUUGCUAGAGAAGUCAAAACCAUCCGUCGCAUUGAUCACCACGGCCCUACUCAUUAGGGAUAUGCACGGUCAUAGGGAAUUUGUGUCCCAUGAAUUAACCUCAUGUACACCUUUAGAAAAAAUAAAUUCUUUUAUUCCAUUUCAUUGAUAAAUAUGACAUUCAUCAAUUUGUGCAUUCAUCUUCUAAGAAGUGACAAAACACAAAUUUCACUGGAGUUUCUCGAUUCUGCAAUCCCCACCGAGUUUUUUACACAAAAAUCGAGCGCUACAUCAAAAAUCACCUAGAUCAAAAGAGCCCUAAGAGCUGGUGAACUAGGUCAUCGCCUUGGUGCUGUCCGCCACAACAUGCUUGGCGAGCCGGGAAGCACAAGCUAGACGGCCGUCUAGAUCUCCCAUGAGGUGAUGGUCGGCUUUUGGUUGAAGCGCAUGAGCCACAACGACUCCUGGGCCAGCGUAUUGAAGAUGAAGCUAUUCAUGAUGACCAUGGCCUUACUCGAGAUGCCAAUGUCCUGGUGGACCGGCUUCAGCAUCUUGAAGAUGUAGAUCAUGUAUGUCUCAACGCUCCUCUUCGCCCACUUCUUGCCGCCGGCCCCCUCAUUCGGGAGCUUCUGCUCGACCCUUGACUUCUUCUCCGCCAUCCCCUCCGACUACACUGCUGCUUCGGACUUCUCAGCCACCACUUCCCCCUUGUACUCGAGGAAGCUUGCUUCUGCCGGGGGUAAGGGUGGGGGAAGGAGAAGCGCAAAACAAUACUAUAUAUAUAAAAGAGGAAAACAAAACCAAAUUGCGUUUUCAGUUCAGGUCAUAUCCGGUUUGUGUCGUGUUUAUGUUCGGAGCAAGCAUACAUCCAAAUGGUUCGGGCCAAAUCAAAUUGAACCAAACCGUUGAUACCCUAAAUCUAUGUAUUCAGUUUUCAGGGGAGGAAGUGUUUAAGUAAAAAAAAAAAGAACUCCUAUUCCUUCCGUCCUAAGAAGAUUGCUUCUGUCCAACUCACACAGAAAGAGCUUACGCGCGCGUUAUCCCUAAAUAGAACUAUUGCACAAAAUAUGAAGACCAUGUUUUCUAGCUGAGCUCUCUGAAUCAAAAUGACUAUUUUCUCUGAUUGGCCUAAGGAUGGAUCAAACCCCUCCCAAACGUUUCACUCGACUUACUCCCGCCAGACUCUCCUUGACAGUGGAGUCCCAUACCUCUUGCGAGCUCAAGCCAUUCUUGAAGCAAGAGCUUUAGCUGAGAUUGCUGGAACAUUUUAAAGGCAUUCUUAUCUUAUCCCCUUAGCGAGUAAGAAAGCUGCUUUCGAAAGGUAUGAAGAUAAUAAUGUUGAGGGGUUCUCCUCCGCCGGGUUAGAACUCAGAAGUAGGGGUGAGUGGGGCAGACUGCUUUGCUCAUACCGGAUUUUAGGCUAGGGGACCGGGUAGGAUUGACUGAAAGCUCUCCUAAGAAAUUUGUCCUCUUCCUGAUGUACUAGACUGAAUGGCUAAGAUCUCAUCAUAAUGUGCCACGACAAGUUUAUUGUUCAAUUUGCUUCAGGCCAGUCAAAUUUGAAGGGCCGCGAAGUACAUUGCGUCCAUGACUCGCGAAGAAAAUAUCUAAAAUAUCAGAACUCAUGCCAUCACUGAUUGUAGCCCAAAAUAUGCACCUACACUAUGCUUUGAUUGUAGCCCAAAAUAUGGUUCCGACAUGCACCUAGAAAAUCCAUAUAAGGAGGAAAUAAAAUAAGAAAUUAAACCGGAGGCUCAUCGACCACCUGAGGUGAGCGAUUCAGCGACAGAAGACAAGUGCGAAAAUGCCUUGCUUGUGGAGGACGGAUAAGACAUGGCCAAAUCAUCCAAACCUUCGCGAUGAGCGAAUGCUAAACCGCUGGAAGAAAUGCUGGUGGACGACAAUUCUGGCAUCGGAAGAUCGCCCUCCAAGUACUGCAAUACUUGACGCAUGCUUGGCCUCAUCGACGGAUUGGGGAGGGAACACAUCAACCCGAGUUUCAGCACCAACUCCAUUUCCUCUUCCACGAACUCCGCCCUCAAUUUCGGAUCACUUGCCUCAAGAAUGUCGCCUCUGUUCCAGCAAGAAGAUACCCAGUCCACUAUGAUCACGUCCUCCGUGUCCCCUUGCUUUAUUGGCCUUCUCCCGCAGGUGACCUCAAGCAAAAACACUCCGAAAGCAAACACGUCGGUGCUCGUAGUGGCCUUGCCAGUACGCAUGUGCUCGGGGGCCAGAUAACCGAACGUUCCCACGACAUGAGUCGUUUGAGGGUCGGUUCCAUGGUCGUAUAGUCUCGCAAGCCCAAAAUCUCCGAGUCUUCCAUUAAAUUCAGCGUCUAGCAAGAUGUUACUCGCCUUUAUAUCCCUGUGGAUCACCACUUGCUCCCACCCUUCAUGCAGAUAAAGCAGCCCUGAUGCCACUCCUUUGAUCACCCUUAAUCUUUGCAUCCAAUUGAGGGUGACAUAUGGUUGGUUAUAGAGGUACUUGUCGAGGCUCCCAUUGGGCAUGUAGUCGUAAACCAAGAGCAACUUCCUUUUCCUGCGGCAGUAACCGAGCAGCGCCACUAGGUUGCGGUGACGGAGCCUACCGAUGCUGAUGAUCUCCGCUACAAAUUCUCUUAUGCCUUGUCUCGAUUCAUGGGAUACCAUCUUCACCGCAAUCUCUAUAUUCGAUGUGGGUAAGAUUCCUCUAUAGACCUGGCCAAACCCCCCGACCCCUAAUAACUCUUGGUCCUGGAAUCCUUUUGUAGCAAUGUAAAGAUCUUUGUACUUGAACCGGUGCGGGCCGUAGUCCCUCUCCCAAUCUUCAAGGACCUCGGCCAAUUUCCUUUUCCUUCUUAUCACGUAAAUUGCGCCCAAGAUCAGCACCGAUACAACGAAAAGAACCAUCAGUGGUAACCCGAUAGUCAUUACUUUCGAUGUCUCCCUACCGAUCUGAGGAAGCUUAGGAAGUCGGGACAGGUCAAGUGCCUGAGCCUCUCCAUUCACACUGAAGCUCCAACCCAGAACAUAGUGAGAAGCUACGACCGAACCCGCCGCUGCUGAGAAGCCCACAUACAUGUUCUCGUUGAUGAUUGGUGAGAGAUCCCGUCGAAGAGACAGAAGGGGAGUCAUCGGUUUUGGCACAUGGAUCGGAGCCAAUGUGACAUUGAUCAGUUUGUCCGCACCAUCAUAGUCCACCCAAACUUGCAUUUGUUGACCGCUGAUUAGGGACAAGUUGUUGAACUCCCCAUUAUCUUGAUAAUACCCGGCCGGAAAUUCCAUCACUGACGGCAGCCCAUUCAAGUCGAUCCCAAUGUGAUUAUCGUUGAUUUCAUGGAACUCGGGGCUGCGGAUCGUGUCGAGUUCUACCCCGAACACAUGAUUGCUAGACUUGCCAUUGUUGGUUUCAUUGAACAUGCCGAGAUAUCGGCCCGGCAGGGACCCGGGGAGGCCUAUCUGGGGUGCGACAACAAAGGCAAAGCCGUUGACUCUCACACUCGCAUACGGAGGUCCAAACGCAAAGACGAACGUGGUGGAGAAGGAUUUGACGGUGCCGUUCGGCAAGUUCUUGAACUGGACCGGGUAGGGAUGGAAGGCGUAGCCCUGCUGCUCCUGAGUGGUGUAGUUGUUCAGCUGCAGGAGGCCAUUGGAGGUGAUCCCGGCGAUCCCGUCGAGCCUCAGAUCGGCCGAUCUGAAACCGUUGUAAAAAACGGUCUCUUGAGCGUAAGUCAAAACUGCUAGCAGAGAGAGCAGAAAAAGAAUCUCGACGGACAUGGCUCAAACUCAGAGCCGCUUAGCAAUUAGGUGAAGAAUGAUGCGGAUUACCAAGGCUAUGAAGAGUCCAAAAGAAUCUUCAUCUGACGGCAUCAAACAAAUGUCGCAAAUUUCAAAAAUGUCUGCUCUACGUGAGACGAAUUGUUCGAUGUCCUGGAUUUUUCAAUGGACGAAUGCAACAGUUGUUCAUAAGUCAAUUAGGAAUUUUCAAUCACGAUGACUCUGAAUAAAAAAAUCCGAGUCGAAGAAUGACUUUUUUGUCGAAAUUAAGUCUGGUGAGAGAGAAUGAAGGAACAUGGGCGGGCUAAAAUCAAAAGCCCCUCAAUUUUCUUCCGAUGAGAAAAACAAAAGUUGAUCGUGUCCACGAAAUUAUUUGAGGAAGGACAAAAGGCCACGAGUCCACGACAGAGAGAGAGAGAGAGAGAGAGAGAGAGAGAGAGAGAGAGAGAGAGAGAGAAAUUUGGAUAAUUACGAGUGACCCAAAAAAAAAAACAGAGAAAAGAAAAGAAGACCCAUGACUGUCUAACACCAUUUUUGAAAAGGUAUAAUAAAAGAACUUUCAUAAAGGAACCCAGUCCUACACCAUUUUUCCAAUAAAUAACUUUAAAAAAUCGAUUUCGAAAAAUUAUAGAAAAAAAUUGAUAUGGUCUUAAAUGACCUUACGUAAAUUUUUAGAGAUUUAAUAUAUCUAAUAGCAAAUAAAAGCUAAAAGUAAGAGUAAAGGCCAAAUAGUGAGACAGCUGAAGGCUCGGCAUUCAGGUUUGUAGAUGCCCAUGCUGCAAUGAGCGACCGGAGCACCAUCUUUUUCAUGAUGAAGUACUGAAGUUAAAGAUAAACGCCACAACUUAAAUUGGAUGGACUCAACAAGAAGAAAACUCGUACUUCUUUCGGAUAAAUUUGACCUGUCAAUGGUACUUUUCACCACGAAUUUCAUGGAGAUUAAAUUGUGGAGCACUUGAAGUUUCAGAAAUUAGACUAAGACAUACAAAAAACUCGAUAAAUUGAAAAACAAGACCCGUCCAAACAUCUGGAGGAAGUCUCCAUGAAAUUACUUGGACUUUAGGAUUGUGGAUUUUCCAUUCAAGGCAUCGACUAACUGAGCCCAAGCAACACUUGAUUCCUCGUGAGAGAGUUCCACUACUUGGCCCUAUUCAAUCGAUCCAGUCCACUAAAUGAAGUAUUCGAGUGUGAUCAUUCAAUAAGAUGACCAUUUAGAGGAGGAUCUCACCCCAUGAAUCUCUUCAUGGCACAUUUCCUAAUCGAAGUAGGAUUUGGAGCUAUACCAAUAUAAUUUCAUUCACAACAGGGGAUUUGAAAUUCCCUUAUGUGGGAGUAAAGAAUAUAACUCCAAGAGAGAAAAAAAUCCAAAUUUGCAAUGACCAAUUUGUGAGGAUAAAUACUUAUCGCUUUUUUCAAGAGGGGAGACACAGCAAUCCACAUGGGAGGAUGAAUAAUUUGGUAGGAGCAGAGUCCGUUUUCACUCAUUUCAGAGGAGAAGACAUAGCUCUUUACAAAGAAUAAUAAAUAGCUAUUCGGUGAAUGAAUAAUGUUUGUAUCAGAUUUUGCAAUUCCUUAAUUGAACUUGAGACCCGAUGCUGUAUGGACAUUCCGUAGUUAUCCUUCUCCAAAAUGAUUCCAAGCAUGCAAAGCAGUCUGAAUGAGAAAGCACUCCAUUACAUGUUGCAUGACCAUAAUAAUUGUCGUCAUUCUCCGUGGACAGGCAGUACCUAUCGAAAUCCGAAUAUGUCGUCUAAUCAUAUAAACAACCGAGAACAUGGCCGACAUUGUAAUUGUAUGAACUAGAUGGCGAAUAUGUUGCUCCAUUGCAUAUUUCCUUCACGAGAGUGAUGUCUCGAUUCCUUCUUGCGACAGUGAAAGUAGAAAAAAUCUUGCUGCGAUCCUUUGAAAAGUGACCAAUUUGCUGACUUUUAAUUGUGUAUCUAUAGCUAAUAAGCUUGGCUAUAUAAUGGGGUUAUUCUUGAAAUUAUCUCCACAAAUUUCCAGAUUUCUUUAGUCAGCAGAUCCGAGGAGUGCUUCCUCGAAAUUGAUCGAAGUUCAACUUCUUCUGCUAAUCUUAUUGCCGGUCAUUCGGCUGGGCAAUGAGAAUGAUAAUAAUAUAAACUACUAUUGCAGCCAAACCUUUUCUAAGAUUAGUAAUCAUUUAAAAAAAAAAAAAAAACUAGUAUAAGUAAAAAAUUCAUAUUAUUAUCAUGUUUGUGUACUUCAAGAUUUUAUUAGCGAGAUGAGUGGACAUGCAAUGAGCAUAUUAUUCUCUAAUCUUUUGAACAAAAAACAAAAUUAUACGUAAUGCAUUUUUAAAAAAGUUCGAGGAACAAUCAUAUAAAGUGAUAAGUUACAUAUCAAACGUAGAUGGUGUCCCCAACUCUCUCGCAUGAGUAGAGAUUAUCGCCACGCUCUCUAAAAUGGGGUCAAUGAAAGGCUAAUGUUACCAUCGUUUUCUUGGACUAGGGAAUCUUAGAUGCACUAGGAACGACAGGUAUUUAUCCCCUCUUUAAUUAUCCAUUUCUAACUGUACAUUAUUUCACUACCUUUGUUGUUAUAUAAAUAAAAAGACUAGGAGAGGUGCCAGAGCUAGCCAUCCUUUUUAGGCAUUCUGCACCCAUUAUAUAAUGCUCACUUUGAGGUGUAGUUACUCCACACUACUCGUGGCCCAAAGGUCUCAGAUUAGCAAGUCCGUCACUGCGGUCACCCCAAGAUACUAGCGGUCAAUAAGUCUUUAUACACAAGAUAUGUUGUACUUAGGCAAUGCAGUAGGAGUUAUUAAGAGGUUGCCUUGUAACAUGAAUUGAACUUGUGACUUUGUGAAAAAUAGGUAAUUCUUUUAUUAUUGAACUAAUGAGGACAAAUCCAUAUGCUCAAUAUUUAAUGAAGAGAAUUAGUUCUUGGGAAAAUUCCAAGUAAAAGCUUGAAGUGUUUUCAAUUUCUUAAAUAGGGGUCUGAAAUGAACCUUGUAUCAAAUAAGGGUCUGAAAUAAAUAUGGUUGUUUAAAAAAAAAAAAACCUAAAAUGGCCAUGAUUGUUUCAAAUAAAAUCUAGACCUCACCAGUCGCCAAUUGACUAAAUAUUUCAACAAAUCAAGGGUGUUUUCAUCGAAUUACAAUUUAACUUCAAAUUACUAUUAUCCUUUUCUUUUCCUUUAUCACUUUUCUUUUUUUUCUUUCAGGCGAGGGCUAGCGGCGGCUGGUGAGGGCUAGCGGUGGCUAGCGAGGGCUCAGCCACCCUCGCAAGCCAUUGAUAAGGGCUAGCAAAGGCCUGUAAGCCCUUGUCAAUCACAAGAGAGGCCACCCUCGCUAGCUGCUAGCAAGUAGGGGUGAUUGGUUCCAUAUUCUGGUUCAGUUUCGUCUGAAACCUAGAACUACCCUCGAGUACAGGUUCCUCAUUUUUUGGAACCCGGAACCUACCCGUCAUAAUCAAGAACUUGGGACGUAUCCUGUUAUAGGUUCCAGGGUCAGUUCCAGGUUCCAACAAGUUCUUUCUUCUUCUUUUUUCCUUUUUUUUUUUCAUUUUCAGAUUUGAACUAUAACGUACGUGCAUAUUCUACGGUAACUUCUCACGUCUUAGCAAACAAAGGAGUCAUGCAUUCCUCAUUUUAUGUCCGCAUAUCUCAGAUAAAAUGCCUUCUUCAAUCGAAUCACUAUGGUAAAAUUGACAUCUUCAUUUACUUUUUGCAGAUAACAGACUUCUUGUUUAACCCAUACCUCAAACGCAAAGCUCCAAAGGCCUCAGCAAAAUAUAUGAGAUUAUCUAUAUGCUCCAAUUCAAACCGAGCAACCAGAGCACGAGCAUAAGCCAUUGCUUGCUCCUUCCGAAGCACUGCCUUUCGAGUCUCCGGAACCCGUUGGAGAUGGACCCUGUUACCAUCCAGAGUGAAAUAGUCAAUGAGCUCGGAGAUGUAUAUCUAAUGGCCUAUGCUUUGACCAAAUACUAUUGACAAGGUAGUUUACUUGGAAUUUUCUUCUGAGGCAGUGACAGCAUCAUCAGCUCCAUCAUAUUUUGCUUUGGACUGAGAAGCAACAUCACAACACAGAUGUCCACCAUCAUAAUCUGAUGUUAGCGCAUGAUAUUCCAUUAUUUGCUCGAACGAUCACAUACCUUAUAGGACACAGAUGACUUUGUGAAGUUUCCCUCAGAAACUGACGCAUUUCCUGUCAAAAAGAGAGUACAGAGCUUUCAGCUUAUCAGCAGGUAGGAAUAAAUUAAUGCCAAAAUCAAUAUGCAGUUCAUUAAGGCAAGGUUUGAUUAAGAAACUUUGUGCUUUCCACAAAAAAUAAAUAAAUAAAUAAUGCAAGGCAAUUAAAUUACUUUUUUCUUUUCCAGGAAAACCUGCUCACAGUCAGCACCAAGCAGGUCGACCAAAUUUUCUAUGUAAAUUCAGAAAGUCCUGCUCACAGUCAGGGUAUUCAAGCAUGUAAUGCCGACCCUACCUUCCAUUGCCAUAUCGAUGUUUUGAGAUUCAUUGGAUAGGAUUGAUUCUUGUAUCUGGGAAAUCUCCCUCUCUAAUGUGACAAAUCUCUCUAGAAAUUCAGGCGUCCUAACAAAACUUACAAAUCUGCAUGAAGACGAGAAAAGAAAAACGGAGAGAAAAUUCAGUACAUUCGACAUUGAUUACAACCAUCAAGCAUAUUUUCUUAUUUAGUAUCUUAUCAAUAGGUAAACUGAUCCAUAAUCAGCAAUCAGGUGUAAACGACAUUCACAUAUUAUUCCUUUUUCGCCCUUUCGAUUGAUCUCCUCGGCACAUUCCAAAGAGCAUAACGUAUUUAGAACAAACUUCCAAAUUUUGCAAGUAGUAAGGAAAUAAAAUGCAAUUCAAUGCAGGGACAAUUUACUUGAAGCAAUUGAAAGCAUGGAUGCUUGCUAGAUUACCUCUCCAGAGUGGCUUUAGUGAACUAGGAAGCAUCUGAUCUCAGAGUGAUGGAGUAGCCACCUUUAGAUAUCUGAUCUUUCGCGGAUUUAAGAUGCGAAAGGAACGGUUCAAGUAAUCGCGAUGCCAACUUCUCAUUCGCCUUACCAGUGUAAAUCACCAUAUCACACCUUCCAUUCGUAUAACAAAAAGGCACGUGACAGAGCGGCGUCGGCGAUGGGCAGAGGCAGAGCAUGACAGCGACUGGUGUCAAGCGGUAAGGAUUGGCACGAGCGGCAUCGGUGACUGGCGUCCAGCAGCAGCGGUCUUGAGGGCGAGCGGCAUCCGGCGGCAAGAGUCAGAGCGGCGUCGGCGACGAGCAAAGGUAGAGCACGGCAGCAACGGGCAUCAAGCGGCAAGGGUUCACGCAAGCAACAUCAGCAACUGGUGUCCAGUAGCGUCCAGCGGCGGCAGCCUUGAGGGCGAGCGACAUCCGGCAAUGAGACUCAGAGCGACGUCCGGCGGCGAGAGUUCCAGGUCUAAAAUCUGAAUAGGGAGCACCGAGCAGGGGAGAGGGGGCUCCUUUUGGCUUUUGGAGCCCUGACUAGUUCUGAAACCGGUUCCAGUUCCGCAACCAGUUCCGAAACCAGUUCCGGUUCCGGUUCCGAUUGCGGAACCGGAACCGCAACCGGUCCUUUAAGAAUCAGGAACCGUGCUCACCCCUACUAGCAAGGGCAGCCUCACCUAGGGCAAGGGCAACCUCCCCCAAGGCAAGGUCAUCCCUUGCCAAUUGUUGGCAUGGUGACUCUCGCCUAGCCCUUUUCGGCAUUGCCAAUGGUCGACAAGCCACCAUCAAAGAAGAAAGAAAAGCUAGAAAAAUAGACAAAAUAAAGAAAAUAUAAAAAUAAAUAAGUAAAAUGCCCUUGAUCAGUCGAAAAGUCAAGUCCUUAUAUGAAAUAAGAUCCACUUCAAACCUUCAUUUGAAAUAAUCUAUUUCAAGCCCUAAUUUAAGAAAAUGAAGGCACUUUAGCCUCUUAUUUGAAAUUUUUCCAAAGUUCUUUAUUUUGUUUCUUUUCUUCAUUUUUCUUUUUUCCCCCUCUCUUCCUUCUCUCUUCUUCCUUUUCCAAGACAAUCAAAGUGCCCUUGUGCGCCGCUGCCAGCCCAUUGCCAUCACAAGUCGAUGCCAAUGUGUCUGAAAAUAUCGCAACUGCCACCGCUGUCCACCUUGCAGUGUGCAAGUGUGUGUAUGUGGAAUUGUUGAAAGUCUAAUACAAAUAGGCACUUGCCAUGAGCUUUGGGCUCUAUCAAGGCAGCAUUUGGUCCAACUUGUUUAAAAAAUAAUAAUAAUUAACAAACAUGAUAUCAACUCCAAAAGUACAUUAGAGAUCCAAAGUUGCUUUAAAGACUUUCCUAAAUGCAUCAUAAAAGUCAAAUUAUCUCCAUGUAGUCCAUCCAGAUGAAGAAAGUCCAUGAUGAGACUCCCUGAGAGAUACAGAAAAUGCAAUGGCAUGCUUUUGAUACGUAAAAUUAAAGUCGUCCAUCAAUUUACCUUUCCUAUGCACCAGUUAAUUGACCAUGCAGAUGAAUUCUCUUGCUAGAGAAGUCAAAACCAUUCACCACACUAAUGACCAUGGCCCCACGCAUUAGGGAUGGGCAUGGGUCGUAAGGAAUCUAUGUCUCGUGAAUCAACCCCAUCUACACCUUCAAAAAAAAAAGAUUUUAUUUUUUAUUCCAUUUCAUUUAGAAAUAUGAAAUGGUAAUAAUAAUAAUAAUAAUAACAUAACUUAAGAACAAAUUUGGUCCUUCUUCUACGGCAGUUAGGUCCUUCUACGGCAGUGCCCCACCGGGCCCUUUGCCAUGUGAAGGUAAAACCAUCCCUUUCCUUCCCUUGUUCGUUAAUGCACCCUAAACGAAAACGCCCAUUCAUCCUCUAAUUCUUAGUAUUUUAUAUCGGAGAUAAUGGCAUAAAUAGUCCAUAAAUUUUGACCAAAUUUGUAAUAUAGUCCCUGAACUUUUAAUUUGUUCACUUUAGUUCCCUGAACUUUUCACGCAAAUUAAAUAUAGUCAUUAAAUUAUAUGAAAAUGUUCAAUAUAGUCUUUCCAUUGAUUCAAGACUAAGAGUAACAUUGAACAUUUUCAUAUAGCCUAAGGACUAAAUUGAACAUAUUUCAAAAGUUGGAGACUAAAUUGCGUAUUUGGCUAAAAUUCAUUAACCAUAUUGAAUAAGUUAAAAGUUCAAAAAUCACAUUGCAUAUUAAGCUAAAAUUCGGAGAUCAAUUUGUAUAAUUUUCUCAUUUGCCAUCCUUGACUUUGAGACCAUGUUAAUCUAUCUAUUCAGCUUUCAGGGGGGAGGAAGUGGGUCAUAAGCAUAACGUGCCAUGAGAAAGUUUACUGUUCACUUGCUUCAAGCCAGUCAAAUUCGAAGAGAAAUUUUGAAAAUAUUUAGAAAUCAGGCGACCACUGAACUGAUUAGGGUACAUGCCCACGUGCACCUAGAAAAUUCUACCCCGUCACACGUCUCUCUUUUCUUCUCUCUAUACGGUCGUUUCCUUCCUUCACCCCUUCGCCUCCAUUCUUGAUCUGCAACUUGAGACCAUGGCCACCACCCCACACACAAUCUCUCUCUUUCCCCCACCAAAAGAACGAAGAAGAAGAAACUGAGAGGGAGUAAAGGAAAAACAGAGGGGGAAGAAGAAAAAAAUGAUGUUUUUCCAUGUGGCGCGAUUAGGUCUAUAGAGGAAUAAUAAGGAACACCACUCGGCGAACGAAGUCCGGAAAGCAGCAGCCGAACAAGGCUGCCGAGCCAGCAGCUAAUUUGCGCCAUUGUAAAAAUAAGAGCGUGCAGUAGGCGAUACUUACACCGACUAGUACCAGAAUGACUCACGGAGCCUGCAGAUUUUAGAUCUGCACAUUAUCUCGGUUUACCAUGAGGUAAGGAAGAAAAUCAGAAACUACACCAGGAGUCUCAUCGCCCACCUGAGAGAAGCGAUUCUGCAACAGAAGAUGAGUACGCCAAAUUGUCGAAACCUUCACGAUGACCAACUGUUGACCCGGCAGACGAAAUGCCGAUGGACGAUGAUUCAGGCAUCGGAAGAUCGCCCUCCAAGUACUGCAAAACUUGACGCAUGCUUGGCCUCAUCAACGGAUUGGCGUGGGAACACAUCAACCCGAGUUUCAGCACCAACUCCAUCUCUUCUUCCACAAACUCCAACCCCAAUUUCGGAUCUCUUGCCUCGAGAAUUGCACCUCUGUCCCAGCAAGAAAAUACCCAGUCCACUAAGAUCACGUCCUCCGUGUGCCCACGCUUUAUCGGCCUUCUCCCGCAGGCGACCUCGAGCAAAAACACCCCAAACGCAAACACGUCGGUGCUCCUAGUGGCCUUGCCGGUUCGCAUGUGCUCGGGGGCGAGGUAACCUAUCGUUCCCGCAACAUGAGUCGUUUGAGGGUCAGUUCCAUGAUCGUGUAGUCUCGCGAGCCCAAAAUCUCCAAGCCUUCCAUUAAAUUCAGUGUCCAGCAAGAUGUUGCUCGCCUUUAUAUCCCUGUGUAUCACCACUUGCUCCCACCCUUCAUGCAGAUAAAGCAGCCCAGAUGCCACUCCUUUGAUUACCCUUAGUCUUUGCAUCCAAUUGAGGGUGACCUUUGGUUGGUUAUAGAGGUAUUUGUCGAGGCUUCCAUUGGGCAUGUAGUCAUAAACCAAGAGCAACUCCCUUUUCCGGCGGCAGUAACCGAGGAGCGCCACCAAGUUGCGAUGACGGAGCCGACCAAUGGUAAUAAUCUCCGCUACAAAUUCUCUCAUGCCUUGCUUCGAUUCAUGGGAGACCCUCUUCACCGCAAUCUCUAAAUUCGAUGUGGGUAAGAUUCCUCUAUAGACCUGGCCGAACCCCCCAGCCCCUAAUAACUCUUGGUUCCGGAAUCCUUUCGUUGCAGUGUAAAGAUCUUUGUACUUGAACCGGUAAGGGCCGUAGUCCCUCUCCCAAUCUUCAAGGACCUCGGCCAAUUUCCUUUUCCUUCUUAUCACGUAAAUUGCGCCCAAGAUCAGCACCGAUACAACGAAAAGAACCAUCAGUGGUAACCCGAUAGUCAUUACUUUCGAUGUCUCCUUACCGAUCUGAGGAAGCUUAGGAAGUCGGGACAGGUCAAGUGCCUGAACCUCUCCAUUCACACUGAAGCUCCAACCCAGAACAUAGUGAGAAGCUACGACCGAAUCAGCCGAUGCUGAGAAGCCCACAUACAUGUUCUCGUUGAUGAUUGGAGAGAGAUCCCGUCGAAGAGACAGAAGGGGAGUCAUCGGUUUUUGCACAUUGAUCGGAGCCAAUGUGACAUUGAUCAGUUUGUCCGCACCAUCAUAGUCCACCCAAACUUGCAUUUCUCGACCGCUGAUUAGGGACAAGUUGUUGAACUCCCCAUAAUCUUGAUAAUACCCGGCCGGAAAUUCCAUCACUGACGGCAGCCCAUUCAAGUCGAUCCCAAUGUGAUUAUCGUUGAUUUCAUGGAACUCGGGGCUGAGGAUCGUGUCGAGUUCUACCCCGAACACAUGAUUGCUAGACUUGCCAUUGUUGGUUUCAUUGAACAUGCCGAGAUAUCGGCCCGGCAGGGACCCGGGGAGGCCUAUCUGGGGUGCGACAACAAAGGCAAAGCCGUUGACUCUCACACUCGCAUACGGAGGUCCAAACGCAAAGACGAACGUGGUGGAGAAGGAUUUGACGGUGCCGUUCGGCAAGUUCUUGAACUGGACCGGGUAGGGAUGGAAGGCGUAGCCCUGCUGCUCCUGAGUGGUGUAGUUGUUCAGCUGCAGGAGGCCAUUGGAGGUGAUCCCGGCGAUCCCGUCGAGCCUCAGACCGGCCGAUUGGAAACCUCUGUACAGGAAACCGGUCGCUUGAGCGUAAGUCAAAAUUGCUAGCAGAGAGACCAGAAAAAAAAUCUCGACGGACAUGGCUCAAACUCAAAGCCCGCUUAGCAAUUAGGUGAAGAAUGAUGCGGAUUACCAAGGCUAUGAAGAAUCCAAAAGAAUCUUCAUCUGACGGCAUCAAAUGAAUGUCGCAAAUUUCAAAAAUGGCUGCUCUACGUGAGACGCAUUAUUCAAUGUCUUGGACUUUUUCAUGGGCGAAUGCAACAGUCCCUGUUCAUAAGAAACAAAUCCGAGUCGGAGAAUGACUUUUUUGUCGAAAUUAAGUCUGGUGAGAGAGAUUGAAUGAACAAGGGCGGGCUAAAAUCAAAAGCCCCUCAAUUUUCUUCCGAUGAGAAAAACAAAAGUUCAUCGUGCCACGCGUAACACGAAGUGUCCACGAAAUUGUUUGAGGAAGGACAAAAGGCCACGAGUCCACGACAAAACGACAAAAAAAAAAAAAAAGAAGGAGAAAGAGAGAGAAAUUUGGAUAAAUACGAGUGACAAAAAGAAAAAAAAAACAGAGAAAAGAAAAGAAGGGCCAUGACUGUCUAACACCAUUUUUGAAAAGGUAUAAUAAAAGAACUUUCAUAAAGGAACCCAGUCCUACUGUUUAAAUAAGAGAAAAUAAUACAAAUGAUCCAUAAAUUUUGACCAAAUAUGCAAUAUAAUUCUUGAACUUUAGCCUAAUAAUCAAUGUGGUCUAUGAAAUUUUGAUUUAUUCAACGUGACUCCUGAACUAUUGGUACGUGUUUAAUGUAGUUCUCAAAUCAUAUGAAAAAAAAGUGCUUGUGAGAAUAGAAGUUUAUGUCAUAUAUAUCUUUCCAGACAUGGUUUCUUUUACUAAAUUAGAUCAAAUUUCUAGCAGCAAGAGAAAUAUUAGAGGAUAUGUUAUAGUAGCUUGAUUCGUCAAAUUCUUUAGUAAUUUCUUUUUGCCAACUUUUUUCACGUUUUACUUGUUUUUAAUUGGUUAGUUUUUUCAUGUAUACUAUUUUUCAUAUUGCAAGGAAAAAAUUGCUAAGAAUUAGAGUAUAAGUCGAGUUGGGCAGGGGUUACGUCCAUGUUAGAUCAGAUAUGAGUUGCUUAAUGAUAUUACAUAUUAAUAGGUCAAUAUGGAUUAGAUAAUUCAACUUACAUUGAACUUAUUUUGGACUAAUCUAAAUCCGACUUGACCCACUCGUUUGACGGAUCUAGUUAUGCUAUGGCUCUUCUUCAUAAAUGGGGCAACUCUUUGAUGUUACAUCCUUCCGUUAGAUGGAAAUACUACUAAUCCUUUCUUUUAUUAAGGCUCUCAUGCCUUUUAAACCGGUGAAGUCACGCCUUGAGAGGAGUAUCUAAUAUGAAUAGCAGACAAGGAAGCUUUAACCUCUUUUUCUCUCAUUCGGCACCCCAAACAUUCCAAUCGCUAAUCCACAUGAAAAAAUUCAGUUUGAAACCUUUUACCUCGAUGCAUUAAAGCCCGAGAUUCAUGAGAUGCUAUAGAAGGUACUUUACCGGUAAAAAAAAUCUUCAUCCAGCAAUACAUGUAGCAACUACAACGCUAGAUGUGGUCGGUCUCAGAUUGUUAUAAUGCGAGUAGUAUUGGAUUCACAUGUGUCAGGUGCAUGCCGCUCUACCUCCCCAUUAAUCAAAUCAAUUGCAUCAAAACGAUUUUGCAUCCUUUACAUUUAAAAUCAUUGCUUCUUAUUUACCAGUUAAAACCCUAUACUUCAUACGUUGAAUUUAUUGUCAAACGUAAAAAUUACACUCAGAAAUAAGUUGGCACUGUUAUUUCAUUUUCACAUUUUUGCUUUUCUUUGGAUAUACCUGUACCACCAUUUUAAUUCCCAACCAUCCUAACUCACAACAUCUUAAUCCUCAGCAGCUUUCCUCCCUUCCCUAUGUUCGUAGCCGCCACAAGCCCUGUUGCGUGCCCAGCCAAAGGAACUCACGGCUCCCUCCACCACUAUGUUAGUGCCGCCACUAACUUUUGGCCCCUCCUCUACCUCUCAGCAACGCGAAAACUCGGCGAAACCCAACCCAUGAAACCUUAUAAUCAAGACAAGAGGUCUUGAAGGACCUGGAGUCCAAGUUAUCCGACCCCAAUCGGGGUUGUGGGUGUGAGAGAGACGAGGAGGAGGAGAUGACGGGGAAGGGGGGUAACGACGACCAUCGUCAUCGGCACGGAUUGCAGUCCUCAUGGGAAAAGAUAUAGGAAGGAGUGAUGAAUUUGCCUCCCGUAAGAGUACCAUUUGAGUGAAGGUCGAAGAGGGUUUUUGGUAAUUAGAAAAGAACAUGUUCAUUGAACAUUAAUUUUCUUUUCUUUUUUCGUUUUUGGCUAAAAGAAGCAAUUGGCAUAUCAAAAUCAUAUUCAGUUAAUAAAACCCCGACUGUGUAUCUUCUGAAUUUGACAACUUGAUUUAAUUUAUAAAACAAAAAAAAACAAAAAUUGUAACAUGUCGACCCAAAAAAACAUAUUUGAAAUGAUCGGGAUGCUCCUCUUGUUUCCUUCUUCUUCUUCUUUUCCUUUUUAAAUUUUCGCUUUGUGAGGGGGUAAAAUAAAGAAAAUGAAUUUUGCUAGAAACUUUAUUAAAUCGGUCUCACGACGUACAUUCAUUCUCAUGUAAAGACAGGAGUCCAUCUUCAACUAAGUUUUAGUCUGGACGUCUGCGUGGGAGCCUGACUUUGACAUUGACCAGCAAAGGAUUCAAGGAAUCGAUCAACCGUGUCUUGGCUCUGUACAAUCAACCAAUAAGGCUAAUCUUUUUUACCAGAUCCACUAGUUAGGUCCUUCUUCUACGGCAGUGCCCCACCGGGCCCAUUGCCAUGUGAAGGUAAAACCAUCCCUUUCCUUCCCUUGUUCGUUAAUGCACCCUAAACGAAAACACCCAUUCAUCCUCUAAUUCUUAGUAUUUUAUAUCGCAGAUAAUAACACAAAUAAUCCAUAAAUUUUGACCAAAUAUGUAAUAUAGUCCUUGAACUUUUAAUUUGUUCAUUUUGGUUCCCUGAACUUUUCACACAAAUUAAAUAUAGUUAUUAAAUUAUAUAAAAAUAUUCAAUAUAGUCCUUUCAUUAAUUCAAGAUCAAGAGUAACAUUGAACAUUUUCAUAUAGCCUAAAGACUAAAUUGAACAUGUUUCAAAAGUUUAGAGACUAAAUUACAUAUUUGGCUAAAAUUCAUUAACCAUAUUGAACAAGUUAAAAGGUCAAAAAUCACAUUACAUAUUAAGUUAAGUUUCGGAGAUCAAUUUGUGUUAUUUUCUCAUUUGCCAUCCUUGACUCUGAGACCAUCUUAAUCUAUCUAUUCAGCUUUCAGGGGGAGGAAGUGGGUCAUAAGCAUAAUGUGCCAUGAGAAAGUUUACUGUUCACUUGCUUCAAGCCAGUCAAAUUCGAAGAGAAUAUUUGAAGACAUUUAGAAAUCAGGGGACCACUGAACUGAUUAGGAUACAUGCCCACGUGCACCUAGAAAAUUCUACCCCCUAUCACACGUCUCUCUCUUUUCUUCUUCUCUCUAUACGGUCGUUUCCUUCCUCCACCCCUUCGCCUCCAUUCUUGAUCUGCAACUUGAAACCAUGGCCACCACCCCACACACAAUCUCUCUCUUUCCCCACCAAAAGAACGAAGAAGAAGAAACUGAGAGGGAGUAAAGGAAAAACAGAGGGGGAGGAAGAAAAAAAUUGACGUUUUUCCAUGUGGCGCGAUUAGGUCUGUAGAGGAAUAAUAAGGAACACCACUCGGCGAACGAAGUCCGGAAAGCAGCAGCCGAACAAGGCUGCCGCGCCAGCAGCUAAUUUGUGCCAUUGUAAAAAUAAGAUCGUGCAGUAGGCGAUACUUACACCGACUAGUACCAGAAUGACUCACGGAGCCUGUAGAUUUUAGAUCUGCACAUUAUCUCGGUUUACCAUGAGGUAAGGAAGAAAAUCAGGAAACUAAACCAGGAGUCUCAUCGCCCACCUGAGAGAAGCGAUUCUGCAACAGAAGAUGAGAACGCCAAAUUGUCGAAACCUUCACGAUGAGCAACUGUUGACCCGGCAGACGAAAUGCCG